AUACGGAGGGGGCUAGCGUUGUUCGGAAUCACUGGGCGUAAAGCGCUCGUAGGCGGAUCAGUCAGUCAGAGGUGAACUCCCAAGGCUCAACCUUGGAACUGCCUUUGAUACUGCUGGUCUCGAGGUCGAGAGAGGUAAGUGGAAUUCCUAGUGUAGAGGUGAAAUUCGUAGAUAUUAGGAAGAACACCAGUGGCGAAGGCGGCUUACUGGCUCGAUUCUGACGCUGAGGAGCGAAAGCGUGGGGAGCAAACAGGAUUAGAAACCCCAGUAGUCC
RNAcentral lists this ribosomal RNA (274 nucleotides) under uncultured bacterium. Its description in RNAcentral is "partial 16S ribosomal RNA". It matches the Rfam family "Bacterial small subunit ribosomal RNA", at positions 523 to 796 of the family's 1533-position model. The record is from RNAcentral.